CCGAGGCCCCCGUUGAUGCGGCAGAGCUCCCCCAACGCUGCCGCCACCGCCUCCGCCUCAGACAUGGACAGGAACAGCGGCACCAGCAGCUCCUCCGCCUCUUCCUGCAGCAGCAAAGGGCAACAGCCGCCCCGCUUCGUCUCGGCGGGGCCAGCCGGGGAAUCUAAACCUAAGAGCGGUAGCAGAGGCUCAGCGGGCAGAGUUUAGCCCUGCCCAGUUCUCUGGAGGGAAGAUCAACCUGAACCACUUGUUGAAUUUUACUUUUGAACCCCGUGGCCAGACAGAUCACUUUGAAGGCAGUGGACAUGGCAGCUGGGGCAAAAGGAACAAGUGGGGACAUAAGCCUUUUAAUAAGGAACUGUAUUUACAGGCCAACUGCCAGUUUGUGGUAUCUGAAGACCAAGACUACACAGCUCAUUUUGCUGAUCCCGAUACUUUAGUCAAUUGGGACUUUGUGGAGCAAGUGCGCAUAUGUAGCCAGGAAGUGCCAUCUUGCCCAAUAUGCCUCUAUCCACCUACUGCAGCCAAGAUAACCCAUUGCGGACACAUCUUCUGCUGGGCCCGCAUCCUGCACUAGCUUUCACUGAGUGAGAAGAUCUGGAGUAAAUGUCCCACCUGUUAUAGUUCUGUGCAUAAGAAGGAUCUCAAGAGUGCUGUUGCCACAGAGUAACGUCAGUAUGUUGUUGGUAAUACCAUUACAAUGCAGCUGAUGAAGAGGGAGAAAGAGGUGUUGCUGGCUUUGCCCAAAUCCAAAUGGAUGGACGUAGACCAUCCCAUUCGUCUAGGAGAUGACAGCACAGCCAGUACUCCAAGUUAUUGCUGGCCUCCAAGGAGCAGGUGCUGCACCGGGUAGUUCUGGAAUAGAAAGUAGCACUAGAACAACAGCUGGCAGAGGAGAAGCAUACUCCCGAGUCCUGUUUUAUUGAGGCAGCUAUCCAAGAGCUCAAGACUCGGGAGGAGGCUCUAUCAGGAUUGGCUGAAAGCAGUGGGGAGGUCACUGGUGUCAUGGCUGCUCUAGAACAACUGGUGCUGAUGGCUCCCUUGGUGAAGGAGUCUGUUUUUCAACCCAGGAAGUGUGUGCUAGAGUAUCCGUCUGCUUUUGAUGAAUAAACCACAGCAGUUUGUUCUCUGGACUCCCCUUCUCUCCUCUUGCUCUCCCUCUGGUAGUGGAAGAAGAGGCAGUGUCUGAGCCAGAGCCCGAGGGGUUGUCAGAGGGUUGUGAUUACUCGGAAUUAACAGAUGACAACUUAGGGAAGGGACCAUUUGUAUUGUGUCCAGCCAGCGGGAACCUGUCACCAAGCCAGGCUUCACAAAACACCUGAGAAAUUCUCCUUGUUACUACUUGUACCAAGCAGAAGAUGGGCAACGCAUGUUCCUGCACCCUGGGAAUGUGCGCUGCCUCGUGUGGGAGUAUGGCAGCCCGGAGCGGAGCCCUGAGAGGAUAUCAGCUACAGUGGUGGAGAUUGCUGGGUACCCCAUGUCUGAGGAUGUUCGACAGCGUCAUAGAUAUCUCUCUCACUUGCCGCUCACCUGGGAGUUCAGUAUCUGUGAACUGGCUCUCCAGCCUCCUGUGGUCUCAAAGGAAACCCUAGAAAUAUUCUCAGAUGACAUUGAGAAGAGAAAACGUCAGCGCCAAAAGAAGGCGCGAGAGGAACGCCGUGGAGAGCGCAGGAUAGAGAUGGAAGAGAAUGAACAGGGCAAGUAUCCGGAAGUCCACAUUCCCCUAGAGAACUUACAGCAGUUUCCUGCCUUCAAUUCCUAUACUUGCUCCUCUGAUUCUGCUUUGGGUUCCACCAGCACUGAGGGCCAUGGAGCCCUCUCUCUUUCUCCUCUUAGCAGAAGUCCAGGUUCCCAUGCAGAUUUUCUGCUGACCUCUCUGUCACCCACAGCUGUUCAGGGCAGUCCCUCAUUCUGCGUUGUGAGUCUGGAAGAAGAUUCUCCCUUCCCUUCCUUUGCUCAGAUGCUGAGGGUUGGAAAAGCAAAAGCAGAAGUGUGUCCCAAAACUUCUCCAAAGAAAGAUGAGAACAGCCUAGUUCCUCCUGCCCCGGUGGACAGUGAUGGGGAGAGUGAUAACUCAGACCGUGUUCCUGUGCACAGUUUCCAAAAUUCCUUCAGCCAAGCUAUUGAAGCUGUCUUCAUGAAACUGGACACACCAGCUUCUUCAGAUCCCCUCUCUGAAGAGAAAGGAGGGAAGAAAAGAAAAAAAAAAAAAAAAAACAGAAACAGAAACAGAAGCUCCUGUUCAGUACUUCAGUUGUCUACACCAAGUGACUCUACUGGCCCAGGCUACCUUCUCCAUCUGGAUUUCUUUCUUCUGUGCUUUUGUUUGGCUGCUGUAAUUUUUAAGUAUUUGAGUUUGAACAGAUUAGCACUGGGGGGGAGGGGGUUUCUACAUUGUGAGGGGGAACCAAGAAAAUUUUAAAUACAGUGUAUUUUUCAGCUUCCCGUCUUUACACCAAAAUAAAGUAUUGACAC
RNA transcript from Nycticebus coucang (slow loris), 2475 nucleotides. It is a transcript of the gene named RING finger protein 10-like, with no coding region annotated. The transcript has a single exon. NCBI's taxonomy places the organism in Eukaryota, Metazoa, Chordata, Mammalia, Primates, Lorisidae. The record is from RefSeq and is a predicted model, not a curated record.